Non-coding RNA from Podarcis raffonei (Aeolian wall lizard), 71 nucleotides. The record is from the annotation of a RefSeq genome assembly. Lineage: Eukaryota; Metazoa; Chordata; Lepidosauria; Squamata; Lacertidae.
GGGCCAUAGCUCAGUGGGAGAGCAUCUGCUUUGCAUGCAGAAGGUCCCAGGUUCAAUCCCUGAUGGCAUCU